GGUCGGGUGGCCGAGAGGCGAGGCUCGGGACUGCAAAUCCCGCUACACGGGUUCAAAUCCCGUCCCGACCUCCA
Molecule: transfer RNA, 74 nt
Filed under: Actinomycetes bacterium
Lineage: Bacteria; Bacillati; Actinomycetota; Actinomycetes
Also listed under: 2 other names
Description: tRNA-Cys
Rfam family: tRNA
About the family: Transfer RNA (tRNA) molecules are approximately 80 nucleotides in length.
Source: RNAcentral